UUUUCCCCUUUUCAAAUGGGUAAAUAAUAAUUAUAGCUAAUAAAUGAAUGUUUAGAAUUAUAUUCCUGUUUCCUUCCUAACAUAUUGCUAUAUUUGUCCUUUUAUUAAAAUCUUAAGUACAUUUCAUAUAUUCUUUCUGUAUAUUUAAGAAGGUCAGUUUUAUGGUAGAGGAAUAAAGAUGCUUUGUUAUUGUUUUGAUUUUGCACAUGGAAAUGGCUUUCUUACGUUAAUGAAUGUAGUGAAUAAAGUUUAGAAUCUGAGUUUGCCUAUACUUACCAUGCAAGUACACUAAGAUGGUUAUAAUUUUUACAUACUUUGUAGUACAUCAUCAGCAUUUGUUAUACAUUUUGCAUGCCACAAUAGAGUAUAUACAUUAUUAUAGUUUGCUAUUAAUAAACAGAUUGUUUUGGGUUUACCCAACUAGGUAUAUUAAAUUUAGGAGAAACUUUUUCAUAUAAUUCUAAGUUAUAGUUAGUUGAGGCACAUAGUAGAAAUAGUCCUGCUAGCAUUUGAAAACUCAGGUACAUACAUGUAGCUAUGUAUGUAGUGACAGCAAGUGACUUAAGUGUUAUGGACACUGGAGAAAUUAAGGAGUUCCUGCUUUGUUUAACAGGGACAAUGUCUUAGCUUUAGCUGAUGGUUAAAAUUUAGUAGUGUGGGCACCAUCUUACCAGAGCUUCUGAUUUUUUUCAAGAGAAACUGGAAAUCUAGAUGAGAAAUUUCUUGAUUUUUAACAGAUAUGCGAGCCAUACUGAACACAUUUGUGGGCUAAGUCAGCCUUGUAAAUUACCAUUUAACUGUCUUUUCAUAUUACUUUUGUGUAUUCCUUAAGGCUUUUAUUUGAUCAUUUUCAUUCUGUGUCUGCUUGUGGCACAGUGAAGUUUUUAUUUUUUUUCAAUUGUAUAUUAAGUUACCUGGAAAUGUAAAUAUUGAGUCUAGAACCUUAAAUCUUUCCUAACUAAAUGUGAUAUUUAAAACAUAUAGGUAAUGGACAGUAAGUCACUUUAAAUCUGUCAAAAUAAUGAUUUGAAUUAAAAUUU
Long non-coding RNA from Sapajus apella (tufted capuchin), 1040 nucleotides. RefSeq lists it as uncharacterized. The transcript has 2 exons. The record is from RefSeq and is a predicted model, not a curated record. Lineage: Eukaryota; Metazoa; Chordata; Mammalia; Primates; Cebidae.